GGCGGGCGCAGCGCGGCGGGGCCUGGGCCCUCCCCGCCGCCAUGGCGCUGCCGCCGCGCUGAGCCGCCCCCCCCUUGCCAUGGCCGGGGCCAUCGCCUCCCGCAUGAGCUUCAGCUCGCUGAAGAGAAAGCAGCCCAAGACCUUCACGGUGCGCAUCGCCACCAUGGACGCCGAGAUGGAGUUCAGCUGUGAGGUGAAGUGGAAGGGGAAGGACCUGUUUGAUCUGGUAUGCAGAACACUAGGACUCCGAGAAACCUGGUUCUUCGGGCUCCAAUAUACCAUCAAGGAUACGGUGGCUUGGCUCAAAAUGGACAAGAAGGUUCUGGAUCAUGAUGUUCCAACAGAGGAACCCGUCACCUUUCACUUCCUGGCCAAAUUUUAUCCGGAGAAUGCAGAGGAGGAGCUGGUCCAGGAAAUCACACAGCACUUGUUCUUCCUGCAGGUGAAGAAGCAGAUUUUGGAUGAGAAGAUCUACUGUCCUCCUGAAGCUUCCGUCCUGCUGGCCUCUUAUGCUGUCCAAGCCAAGUACGGUGAUUACGAUCCCAACGUCCACAAGCGAGGCUUCCUGGCACAAGAGGAGCUGCUUCCAAAGCGGGUAAUAAACCUGUACCAGAUGACUCCGGAGAUGUGGGAGGAAAGGAUAACAGCCUGGUAUGCAGAGCACCGAGGCAGAGCAAGAGAUGAAGCUGAAAUGGAGUAUUUGAAGAUAGCUCAGGACUUGGAGAUGUAUGGAGUGAAUUAUUUUGCGAUUAGGAACAAAAAGGGCACCGAGUUACUCCUUGGAGUUGACGCCUUGGGUCUUCACAUUUAUGACCCAGACAACAGGUUGACCCCUAAAAUCUCCUUUCCGUGGAACGAGAUCCGGAAUAUCUCAUACAGCGAUAAAGAGUUUACCAUUAAGCCGUUGGACAAAAAGAUUGAUGUUUUUAAAUUCAAUUCAUCAAAGUUGCGUGUGAAUAAGCUGAUCCUUCAGCUGUGUAUUGGAAACCACGACCUCUUCAUGAGGAGGAGGAAGGCAGACUCUUUGGAGGUCCAGCAGAUGAAAGCUCAGGCCAGGGAGGAGAAAGCGAGGAAGCAGAUGGAACGGCAGCGCCUGGCCCGAGAGAAGCAAAUGAGAGAAGAAGCCGAGAGGACAAGGGAUGAGCUGGAGAGAAGACUGAUGCAGUUAAAGGAAGAGGCAACGAUGGCCAAUGAGGCUCUGAUGCGGUCUGAAGAGACAGCAGACUUGCUGGCUGAGAAGGCUCAGAUCACGGAGGAGGAGGCCAAGCUCCUGGCUCAGAAAGCAGCUGAGGCUGAACAGGAGAUGCAGCGAAUCAAAGCCACAGCCAUCCGGACAGAGGAGGAGAAGCGACUGAUGGAACAGAAGGUGCUGGAGGCAGAGAUGUUGGCACUGAAAAUGGCGGAGGAGUCGGAGAGGAGGGCAAAGGAGGCCGAUCAGCUAAAGCAAGACCUUCAGGAGGCUCGCGAGUCUGAGCGGAGAGCAAAGCAGAAGCUUUUGGAGAUCACCAGCAAGUCAUCCUACACACAGUCCAUGAACUCGAGUACAACUGCGCUGCCUACCGACCUGCCGAGCUUCAACCUCAUCAGUGAGAGCCUGUCCUUCGACUUCAAAGAUACAGACAUGAAGAGGCUUUCCAUGGAAAUCGAGAAAGAGAAGGUAGAGUACAUGGAGAAAAGCAAGCACCUGCAGGAGCAGCUGAACGAGCUGAAGACAGAAAUCGAGGCACUGAAGCUAAAGGAGAGAGAGACAGCUCUGGAUAUAUUGCACAACGAGAAUGCCAGCCGAGGCAACAGCAAGCACAACACUAUUAAAAAGCCUCAAGCCCAGGGCAGAAGACCUAUCUGCAUUUGAGACUUCAAACCUUGAAUGGGAGGCAAAGAGCUGCCUGGAGCCCCUGUCCCAUCUCAUCCACCCUCCAUCCAGCUCUGGAGGGGAUGCAGGGGGAUGCUGAGGAGGAGGAGAGCAGCCAGCCCUGGCCCAGGAGAUGCUACCAGCAAAGGCUUACCCUACAGAGCACCAAGUCCCGCGUGGCCUUCUUCGAGGAGCUCUAGGAAGCAACCAGCUGCUCUGCACCGCCGCUGCCUGCCGGCCGGCUCCCCCAGGACCGGCAUCGCCCCCCGGUCCCCGCCGGGUGCUGCCGGCCUCUGCACACUGACGGACUCGGGGCCCAGCUGCCCACGGACUGUGUGAUGUUCUCUAGCUUAGUGUCCAUUCAUCCUCCUCCCUGUCGCUCUUUUUUCCUUUUUUUUCCCCGCCUUUUUCUUACUUUUCUAGCGCAGUUUUUUGGCUCGGCACUCCAGGCUUUCCCCCGGUGCCAGCGUUGGGGCCGUGGCCGUGCCCCCCAGCCUGGCAGCCAGCGGAGGGGUCUGCCCUGGCAGCGAUGCCGCCCCUCCAGGCUGCCUUCUCCCUCCGGCAGCGGCACGCCGGCCCCAGAGCCCCGCACCAGCAGUGCCUGGAGCUCCAUUAGGAACACAGAGCAUGUUCUAGUGGAGUGCUGUAAAUCAGGGGCCGUCGCGCCGGCUCUCCCGGGGCCUGGCGGAGGUGGGAGGCGGGCGGGCAGGGAGCAGGAUUACAGCGGCUGCAGGACCUCGGUCCAUGGGGAUUAGGGCUGCUGCUUCUCUGGGGAGAGGCGGUAGAGGUGGGAGGUGGGGAGGAAGGUCUCCUCCUCCUCCUUGUCUCCACAAGGGAUAAGGAGCAGGAGAACAGACAGUGCCAACCAAAUUAAACCAUUUUUUUUUCCUGCAAACUGUGACAAAUCUGGGCAUCUGAGGCCAGGAGGUCUCUGGGGGCUCGGAGCCAGGCAGAGGGCAGCGCAGCACCAGCUUUCACUGGGUGCCCAAGCCCAGCACACCCUAACGCGGCAUGGGGCCCCCCAGCUCCUCCGAGCCCCCCUGGGCCAAGCCAGGGGUUGCCCGUGUCCUGGCAGGGGAGUGCUGGGUCCUCCGCGUCCCCCUUGGGACCCCCAGUUCCUCCCUCCCACAACCUCACCUGACCUACAGCCACACUGGUGUCGGCUGGAGGGUCACCCAGGGCUUGGCGUGUUGUAGAUCGUGUCCUGAGCCGUUUUUAUUUAAAACCACACUGCCUCGGAUCGACUGCCCGCACGUGGCUGUGACUGGGAUGGCUGUGGCCUGGCACAGCCGCUCUCCUCUUUCCCGGGGAAAAAAUAACGGUUUUUCUCCUCUCUUUUAAUAAAAAUUCAAAGCACUAGGAGGAGGA
Phalacrocorax carbo (great cormorant) is the source of this 3220-nucleotide non-coding RNA. The record is from RefSeq and is a predicted model, not a curated record. Lineage: Eukaryota; Metazoa; Chordata; Aves; Suliformes; Phalacrocoracidae.